RNAcentral lists this ribosomal RNA (425 nucleotides) under uncultured bacterium. Its description in RNAcentral is "bacterial SSU rRNA". It matches the Rfam family "Bacterial small subunit ribosomal RNA", at positions 354 to 796 of the family's 1533-position model. The record is from RNAcentral.
GUGGGGAAUAUUGCACAAUGGGGGAAACCCUGAUGCAGCGACGCCGCGUGAGUGAAGAAGUUAUUCGUAACGUAAAGCUCUAUCAGCAGGGAAGAAAAUGACGGUACCUGACUAAGAAGCCCCGGCUAACUACGUGCCAGCAGCCGCGGUAAUACGUAGGGGGCAAGCGUUAUCCGGAUUUACUGGGUGUAAAGGGAGCGUAGACGGCACAGCAAGUCUGAUGUGAAAGCCCGGGGCCCAACCCCGGAACUGCAUUGGAAACUGCUGGGCUUGAGUGCAGGAGAGGUAAGCGGAAUUCCUAGUGUAGCGGUGAAAUGCGUAGAUAUUAGGAGGAACACCAGUGGCGAAGGCGGCUUACUGGACUGUAACUGACGUUGAGGCUCGAAAGCGUGGGGAGCAAACAGGAUUAGAAACCCUAGUAGUCC